Molecule: long non-coding RNA, 175 nt
Organism: Alosa alosa (allis shad)
Lineage: Eukaryota; Metazoa; Chordata; Actinopteri; Clupeiformes; Clupeidae
Exons: 3
Source: RefSeq, a predicted model, not a curated record
UGGUAGUCAAGCGAGCGGGUGUGUCAACGACAACGGAAAGACAGCAUCAAACCACCACAGAUGGAUGGCAGGUUGAGGAAACAGCAUCAGGGCUUCAGAUUUAUAGUAAGGUGCUUGAACAGCCAUCUGCACCACUACAUCUGCCCCCUCCACGCUGGCAUGGUUUGGGGCGAUC